UGGUAAUCUAAGAUAGGAGAACACAGGUGGAACAGGUUUUGGUGAGAAGGAGGAGCACAGGUGGAACAGCUUUUGGGGAGACAAUCAGCAGUUUUAUUUGGGAUAUGUGAAGUUUUUGGUGUCUGGUAGACCUCCUGGUGGAGAAGCUGUGUAGCAGGGGCCCAUAUAAGCCUGGAGUUCAGGAGAAAGCCUGGGCUGGAGGUACACGUUGGGGAGUUGCUGACAGGCACAGCUAAAGAAAUGUGUUACUGACAAGCCUGCAGGCCACAUGGCGAGAUGGAAAGCAAGCAGUAAAGACCAAAGAAACUCGUUGAGGACAAUGGAAGAUGGGCUCAGAAGAAAAUGGAUACAGCUGAAGCUAGAUGGGUCAUGGGUGAAAGCAGGACAGGACCUCAUUCUCCAACAGAUACCAAGGAGAGCAGGUUUAGUGGAGAAAAGCAAUGGAUUUGGAGUGAGGACGUAUGUGUGAAGGUCCUGAUGAGCAAACUUUAGGUCCUUCAGCAACUCAGGUGACCUUUCUGGACCUCU
RNAcentral lists this long non-coding RNA (528 nucleotides) under Homo sapiens (human). RNAcentral describes it as "non-protein coding lnc-C11orf91-2:2". The record is from RNAcentral. Lineage: Eukaryota; Metazoa; Chordata; Mammalia; Primates; Hominidae.